GGGGAUGACCGGCUUCGAUAAGGAUGAUGCGCGUGUUUGCGAGUCGAGCGCAGUCUCGUUAAUCCUGCACAACUUAUAACUGCCAACUUUAACGUUGGAAGACCGGCUCUGGCAUACGCCUAAAGCCGGGAUCGGUUCACUUGUGUCUCUUAGGUGAAAUCCGGUCUUAUACAAGGAGGCUAAGUCCCGCCCCAGUGAUUCGUAGGCGGGAUCGAAAACCAAGAAUCGCUUUCGUUCAGUUCCUAACUGAAACACGCUCGUAGAGGGCAUGCGCGUUCAUUCCUUACACGGCGGUUCAAUUCCGCCCAUCUCCACAA
Molecule: transfer-messenger RNA, 317 nt
Filed under: Candidatus Liptonbacteria bacterium
Lineage: Bacteria; Candidatus Liptoniibacteriota
Also listed under: 1 other name
Rfam family: transfer-messenger RNA
About the family: Bacterial tmRNA, also known as 10Sa RNA or SsrA, is named for its dual tRNA and mRNA-like properties. Its role is to liberate the mRNA from a stalled ribosome.
Source: RNAcentral